AUUGAACGCUGGCGGCAGGCCUAACACAUGCAAGUCGAGCGGAUGACGGGAGCUUGCUCCUUGAUUCAGCGGCGGACGGGUGAGUAAUGCCUAGGAAUCUGCCUGGUAGUGGGGGACAACGUUUCGAAAGGAACGCUAAUACCGCAUACGUCCUACGGGAGAAAGCAGGGGACCUUCGGGCCUUGCGCUAUCAGAUGAGCCUAGGUCGGAUUAGCUAGUUGGUGGGGUAAUGGCUCACCAAGGCGACGAUCCGUAACUGGUCUGAGAGGAUGAACAGUCACACUGGAACUGAGACACGGUCCAGACUCCUACGGGAGGGAGCAGUGGGGAAUAUUGGACAAUGGGCGAAAGCGUGAUCCAGCCAUGCCGCGUGUGUGAAGAAGGUCUUCGGAUUGUAAAGCACUUUAAGUUGGGAGGAAGGGCAGUAAGUUAAUACCUUGCUGUUUUGACGUUACCGACAGAAUAAGCACCGGCUAACUCUGUGCCAGCCGCCGCCGUAA
This 500-nucleotide ribosomal RNA is filed under the name uncultured bacterium. RNAcentral describes it as "partial 16S ribosomal RNA". It matches the Rfam family "Bacterial small subunit ribosomal RNA", at positions 30 to 523 of the family's 1533-position model. The record is from RNAcentral.